RNAcentral lists this ribosomal RNA (253 nucleotides) under uncultured bacterium. RNAcentral's name for it is "partial 16S ribosomal RNA". It matches the Rfam family "Bacterial small subunit ribosomal RNA", at positions 524 to 776 of the family's 1533-position model. The record is from RNAcentral. RNAcentral also lists the same sequence under 1 other name.
UACAGAGACUGCAAGCGUUAUUCGGAUUCACUGGGCGUAAAGGGUGCGCAGGCGGCCGGGUGUGUCAGAUGUGAAAUCCCGAGGCUUAACCUCGGAACUGCGUCUGAAACUACUCGGCUAGAGUAUUGGAGAGGGUAACGGAAUUCACGGUGUAGCAGUGAAAUGCGUAGAUAUCGUGAGGAACACCAGAGGCGAAGGCGGUUACCUGGACAAUUACUGACGCUCAGGCACGAAAGCAUGGGGAGCAAAAGGG